RNAcentral lists this long non-coding RNA (2391 nucleotides) under Olea europaea subsp. europaea. The record is from RNAcentral. Lineage: Eukaryota; Viridiplantae; Streptophyta; Magnoliopsida; Lamiales; Oleaceae.
GAAAAAAAUUGGAAGGGCCGAGAGACAAACUUGCGAAGGCCAUGACUGGUGGUUUUAAGAGUUCCAUUAAUUGGUUGUAUUGUUCGGUAGAGAGACCAUGGGCGACACUUGUGGUUGGGGUCUGGUCGACAGCGACUUGGUGCACCGCUGGAGAAGAAAAACGAGCAACCCGAGGCUAACUUCAUGGUGGAGGUUUGUUCUUUGAAGGCCACCAAUCUGGGUAUCCUAAAAUCUCGAAACAUUUGUCACGUGUGUGACUCGGCCUACCACAUUCUUCACAAUUGGGCGUCCCAGUCUGCCAGACGCGAUGAGGACGGGAGGUGGCUCGCUGCUGUAAGCAAGCAAGGAAAGUGGAAAUCUCUGGCUGAGAGGUGGUCGAUUGGACCAGUCAUUGUGUCUCUUCUUGAUGUAGAAUGGCGUAACAACAGCCAAUUGAUGGGAGUGGUUCCGUAGCCAGAAUUUGUGACCGGAGUUGCUGGAAGCUACCAUUUAGACCCAUGAGGAAUUGGUAGAUUCGGUCAAAUUCCUGGGUCUCAGAGAGUGAUUUAGAUGCACCGCAAGUGCACGAAACUGUGGGUUGUAGAGAAGCUAAUUCAUCCCAUAAUUCCUUCAACCGUCCAUAGUAAGUAGUGAUUGAUUGUUUUUCUUGAUGGAGGUUUGCUAAAUCUCGUUUCAAGCAAAAUAUUUUGGUGCGGUUACUUUGAUAGAAAUGGGUUUCUAGUUCAACCCAUAAAUCGUUUGUUGUGUCGCAAUAUAGGAAGCUACCUGUGAGGGAUCUAUCGAUAGAAUGGAAGAGCGAAGACAUUAUCAUGUCACAGCAUCUGUCCCAAAGAAGAGCAGCAACAGCGUCAUCGGUUGGUCGUUUGAUAGUGCUAAGAACGAAACCCAGUUUGUUCUUGGCGUUCAGUGCACGAGUUAUUGCUCAGCGCCAAGCAGGGUAGUUAUCCCCAUUGAGAGGCACAUCGACGAGAAAUUGAUUGGGUUGGUCAAAUGACUGUAAGUAGUAUGGGGAGGUAGCAUCGGUGAGGGAUUUCAAAGCAUCAGGGGCGGCCGCAUGUGUGGUUGAAUCUGCCAUGGUAAAGGUAUGGAUUGUUCAAACCUUCGGCUCUGAUACCAUGUUAGAAUUUGGUAGAAUAUAAUUUACGAAUGAAGAAUUCCUUCUCAUUGAUUAAAUGAAUACGUUACAACUCUUCUUAUAAUGAAAGAAAACGUGUGUGUAUCUAAUGUAGGAAAGAAAAUAUUAUGUAAUAAAACAAUGCAAUUGAUAAGGAAAGAAUUUUUCUAAAUAUGUAAUUAGUCAAUAAACAAUGCGUGCAAUGAGUGUUGCACGAGUUAAGAAGACUAACACUCUUUAUAUGACCACGAGGUUUCGCCGGACAGUUUCAUUGACAUCUAACAAAUUGAAAGAAGGAUUCGAUAUUAAUGUAAAAUUUGACAGGUUAAAAUUUAAAAAAUAUAGGGGAAAAAAAGUAGUAUGUGGCAGUCAAACAAUCUAUAAUAUAAUCAUUCAAUGAACAAUAAGAUUUCUAGUUUAUAUAAUUUUCAUAUACUUCGAAAAAAUGUCAAUGGUUUGUGAUCGAAUAUAUAUAUACCUACAGAAAUUACAAAGAAAUAUUAUUCUAUACUACAAGGCAAUCUAAUUAGGCCAUCAAUAGCCUUGAGAAAAGGCACACAAAAUUAUUCAACUAACUUCUUUUUGUUCUUCACAGAUUUUGGAGAAUACAUAGUCAACUUAUUAUAGACUUGUUCUUUACAUCGGAAGUGUACACUGACGCCUAGUAGUCAAGAUUUAAUUGAUAAUUUAUGAAUUGUAUCUAUUAUGAUCCAGUUCCUUGACAACAUAUACACCACCAUAAAGAAGAUGCAUGAAUGCACAACAAAGGAAUUCUUAUAACCAAGCAUUCAUUUCAUUGGAAUAUUGAGAUAGUGGUUUGCACUAUUAUUAUUGCAUGCCCAUGUCGUAAAAUGGAAAAAGAAAUGAUAGUUGAGACAACGUUAAAGCAUUUUUAAAUUCAGUUCGCGUGCCUCUUUCAAGUAUAUCGUGGUCUACAGGAGGUAAAGCGCCUAUUUCGAAGUAAUUUAUGUUUUUUCCUCCACAACCAAACAAUUGAAGAAAAUUAAAAUAUGUAUUGCUGUUAUUGUUAUCCCACAAUCUACAAAUUUUAUUGACUUUCUACAAGAAAAUUCUUGAGAAAUUACAAAGCAAAAUUAUUUUAUACAAGGCACUCUAACUAGACCAUCCAAAGCCUUGAAAACAGGCACAAAAAAUUAUUCAGUUACAUUAAGUUGAGAAAAUUAAGGAUCUCAUAAUAAAUUAAAGUCUUCUUUCUGUUCUUCACAGAUUUGGGGAUACAUACCCAGCUUAUUAUAGACUUGUGGACGUUGUGGAAG